Molecule: long non-coding RNA, 1118 nt
Organism: Oncorhynchus nerka (sockeye salmon)
Lineage: Eukaryota; Metazoa; Chordata; Actinopteri; Salmoniformes; Salmonidae
Exons: 2
Source: RefSeq, a predicted model, not a curated record
CCUGUUAGUGAGCAUUUCUAAUUUGCCAAGAUAAUCCAUCCACCUGACAGGUGUGACAUAUCAAGAAGCUGAUUAAACAGCAUGACAAUUACACAGGUGUACCUUGUGCUGGGGACAAUAAAAAGCCACUCUAAAAUGUGAAGUUGUGUCACACAAGACAAUGCCAGAUUGUCUCAAAUUUUGAGGGAGUGUGCAAUUACCAUGCUGACUGCAGGAAUGUCCACCAGAGCUGUUGCCAAAUUAAUGUUAAUUUCUCUACCAUAAGCCACAAGGUCGUUUUAGACAAUUUGGCAGUACGUCCAACCGACCUCACAACUGCAGACAAAGUGUAACCACGCGGGAUCGUCUGAGACCAACUACCGGGACAUCUGAUGAAACUGGUCUUGACCUGACUGCGUCGUAACUGACUUCAGUGGGCAAACGCUCACCUUCGAUGGCCACUGGCACACUGGAGAAGUGUGCUCUUCCCAGAUUAAUCCCAUUUUCAACAGAUGGCGUUGUGUGGACGAACGGUUUGCUGAUGUCAAUGUUGUGAACAGAGUGCCCCAUGGUGGGGUUAUAGUAUGGGCAGGCAUAAGCUAUGGACAAUGAACACAAUUUAAUUUUAAUUGAUGGCAAUUUGAAUGCACAGAUAUACCGUGACGAGAUACUGAGGCCCAUUGUCGUGCCAUUCAUUCACAGCCAUCACCUCAUGUUUCAGCAUGAUAAUGCAUGGCCCAUGUCGCAAGGAUCUGUACACAAUAACUGGAAUCUGACAAUGGCCUGCAUACUCACCAGAAAUGUAACCCAUUGAGCACGUGUUCCAGUUCCCGCCAAUAUCCAGCAAUUUCACACAGCCAUUGAGGAGGAGUGGGAAAACAUUCCACAGGCCACAAUAGCCUGAUCAACUCUAUGAGAAGGAGAUGUGUCGUCACUGCAUGAGGCAAAUGGUGGUUACACCAGAUGCUGAAUGGUUAUAUGAUCCACGCCCUUACCUGUUAUUUUUUUAAGGUAUCUUUGACAAACAGAUGCACAUCUGUAUUCACAGUCAUGUGGAAUCCAUAGAUUAGGGCCUAAUGCAUUUCAAUUGACUGAUUUCCUUAUAUGAACUGUAGCUCAGUAAAAUCUUUGAAAUUGUU